AAUAUUCUGGCUCUCUCCCUUGAGGAUAGGACCAUACAUUGCAAACAUUUUUGGUUUUAUUUGACAGAGGACGCUCUGCUGCCCAAUGUGUCCAGGCAAGAUUCAGCAACAGAAUCACAUUUUACUUAGAUAUGGGAUACACAAAAUGCACAAAGCAAGAUGGGCCAUUAACAAGUAUGGUACUACAAAAUAGGGCUAACAGGUUCAGUGGCACAUGGAGUAAUAAACUGACAUAGCCCCUAAAGUGGCAUGUUCCAGGUUCCAUUGUGUAUAACUGGCAGCAGUGUAAUUAAGAGUCCACUUAGUGAAUUCUUUAAAUGAUUGAUUAACUUUAAUGUCGUAAUGAAAAGUUAAAACCAGCAAGAUUAGAUAAACCAAAAAAAAAAAAAAAUGAUCAGAACAAUGUAACUUUGAACAUCUAUAAUUCUAAUUUAAGUGGGCACUCCAUUUGCUGAUGACUAUGUAAUGUGAUUGAAAGCUCCAGAACAGCUACUAAAUGGACCUUGUGGUCACAUUAGUUUUCUCAUCUAGAUAAACAUGACUUUAUGACUGAAAAUUGGACAAGAUUCUGAAAGUGAUCUUGUAGUCUGUUAAUGAUGGAAAUAUGAUCACAGUUUGCCUCCCACGACUGUAAUGUGUAAAUUAUUUAUUAAAUGUGUGAUGCAGAGUUCUUUCACAGUUGGUUAUAAUUUCCCCAAGAGUGUUCACCAUCGUCAGCCUGCUGUGUGUCACCAAGCACCACGGUGAAUUAAUUCAAUGAGAGAAAGACAGAAGGGCAAGCUGGUACAGGAGUCAGGUUCAGAAAAAGUGUUAAGUGCUAGAGCAUCAUCACAAAGUUGGAACAGUUAUGUAGCGCCAUUAUUGUAGGAUCUAUAAGUGAGAUGUUCUCCUUUACUGGCUUACAAGAACAGCAAGUGUUUUUUUUUUAAAUACUGUAUCAUUGUGCCAUUACUUAUUGAUCAAUAUUCUGCCUUCAGAUUGCUUGGUUUUGUCCAUCCAUUAUCAGCAAUUAACAAAAUUGUAAAAAAAAAAAAUGCUUCUUUCUGUCUGAAGAAGACUCAAAAGAUUAAAAAUAACCCAACCCAAGGUUCAGUGUUGUCAGGCAGGCCUACUCAUGUCAUUUGUUUUUUAAGGACCAACACCUUUGUGGAAGGACUGUUAACACAACACUUUCUGAAGACAUUCAAAUGGGUGUCUCAGGUCCUUGGAGUAGUUUUGCACACCCAUUUGCUACAUAUCUCAGAUCUCUCUCAGAUCUUACAGUACUUCCUCAUUUAUUUUGCAUACAUCCUGGUAGAUCUGUGUGCUCUCCAUCAUGUUGGACGAUGAUUUCCAUGACCAUUUCUCUCCUUGCAGCAGGAUCAAUAUCCUCAAAAUGGAAGAAGAUUUAUGUUUAUGGGAACUAGGCUUGUCACUUGAUAUUCUGAUAGAUCUCUUCAGACGUCUUGUUUGAAAGACAUUUCUUGAUAUAAACUUGAACAAUAUAAAAUAGCAGCCAAUCACUGGGAAACUGACUAUUCAAAUGAAUCAACUAAUCAUUUCACUGCUACUUACAGAUACAAUAUCAUGAACACCUGUGCAAUCCAAUACAGCAGUCCCUCUUUAAAACAAUAUGAACAACAUGACGUUUUUAAUUUAAAAAAAAUAAUAUAAAAGAUUAUGAUAGAUAUAUAUUAAUUUUCUGAUUAGUCACAUUUACAGAAUAGUUACAGCCCCUGUUAGUAAACUCCAAACCCAGCCCAAUCUUUCUAAGAAGAUGAGGAAAAACUCCAACAAGUGUUGUCGAACAAGACUGACACAGCGACAAUGGCUCAGUUGAAGCCGGCAGCUCUUUUAACCAGAUCAGCUGCCGGCUUCAACAUGGACAUUGUGGCCAUUCAGCCUCAGUUCUACUGCUUCAAAGAGGAGCCAUAUAUGGGAACCACAGCAGCAUUGAUCAUGGAUGACGGGGAGCUGGAGGUCCAUCUGUGGUCCUGAGAGGUCCGGUCUGGAUCAUAUCAGCCAGGAGUGACGUUUAAGGGUCUCCAGGGUGGGCCGAUCCUCUGGGCACUUCUCCAGGCAGCUCAGCAGAAAAUCCUGGCAGUCUGGAUAGAAAAACAGGAAUCACAUUUAAUACAAAGACUGUGGUCUACGUGUGCUUUACCGUAUGUGUGUGUUUAUUACUUACCAUAGGACAGACCAUGUCUGAUUUCUGGCUCCUCAUUGACGAUGCCACACCGUAGUGGGUUCAGCCCUGUAGCUCUGAGAGAGGAACCACUCGCGCUGGUGUAGUCGAAGGUCCCUACAGUACACAUAACACACAGAGACAAGGUUUAGUGGU
Molecule: long non-coding RNA, 2320 nt
Organism: Dicentrarchus labrax (European seabass)
Lineage: Eukaryota; Metazoa; Chordata; Actinopteri; Moronidae
Source: Ensembl